UACGAAGGGCGCUAGCGUUGCUCGGAAUCAUUGGGCGUAAAGCGCACGUAGGCGGCCUCUUAAGUCGGUGGUGAAAUCCUGGAGCUCAACUCCAGAACUGCCUUCGAUACUGAGAGUCUCGAGUCCGAGAGAGGUGAGUGGAACUGCGAGUGUAGAGGUGAAAUUCGUAGAUAUUCGCAAGAACACCAGUGGCGAAGGCGGCUCACUGGCUCGGUACUGACGCUGAGGUGCGAAAGCGUGGGGAGCAAACAGG
RNAcentral lists this ribosomal RNA (253 nucleotides) under uncultured bacterium. RNAcentral describes it as "partial 16S ribosomal RNA". It matches the Rfam family "Bacterial small subunit ribosomal RNA", at positions 524 to 776 of the family's 1533-position model. The record is from RNAcentral.